RNAcentral lists this ribosomal RNA (433 nucleotides) under uncultured bacterium. RNAcentral's name for it is "partial 16S ribosomal RNA". It matches the Rfam family "Bacterial small subunit ribosomal RNA", at positions 29 to 507 of the family's 1533-position model. The record is from RNAcentral.
AACGAACGCUGGCGGCAUGCCUAACACAUGCCAGUCGAACGAGACCUUCGGGUCUAGUGGCGCACGGGUGCGUAACGCGUGGGAACCUGCCCUUAGGUUCGGAAUAACUCCCCGAAAGGGGUGCUAAUACCGGAUAAUGUCUUCGGCCCAAAGAUUUAUCGCCUUUGGUUGGGCCCGCGUUGGAUUAGCUAGUUGGUAGGGUAAAAGCCUACCAAGGCGACGAUCCAUAGCUGGUCUGAGAGGAUGAUCAGCCACACUGGGACUGAGACACGGCCCAGACUCCUACGGGAGGCAGCAGUGGGGAAUAUUGGACAAUGGGCGAAAGCCUGAUCCAGCAAUGCCGCGUGAGUGAUGAAGGCCUUAGGGUUGUAAAGCUCUUUUACCCGGGAUGAUAAUGACAGUACCGGGAGAAUAAGCCCCGGCUAACUCCGUG